GAUGAACGCUAGCUACAGGCUUAACACAUGCAAGUUGAGGGGCAGCAUGGUCUUAGCUUGCUAAGGCCGAUGGCGACCGGCGCACGGGUGAGUAACACGUAUCCAACCUGCCGUCUACUCUUGGACAGCCUUCUGAAAGGAAGAUUAAUACAAGAUGGCAUCAUGAGUCCGCAUGUUCACAUGAUUAAAGGUAUUCCGGUAGACGAUGGGGAUGCGUUCCAUUAGAUAGUAGGCGGGGUAACGGCCCACCUAGUCUUCGAUGGAUAGGGGUUCUGAGAGGAAGGUCCCCCACAUUGGAACUGAGACACGGUCCAAACUCCUACGGGAGGCAGCAGUGGGGAAUAUUGCGCAAUGGGGGCAAACCCUGACGCAGCAACGCCGCGUGAUUGAUGAAGGUCUUCGGAUUGUAAAAAUCUUUAAUCAGGGACGAAGAAAAUGACGGUACCUGAAGAAUAAGCUCCGGGCUAAACUAACGUGCCAGCAGCCGCCGU
RNAcentral lists this ribosomal RNA (491 nucleotides) under uncultured bacterium. RNAcentral describes it as "bacterial SSU rRNA". It matches the Rfam family "Bacterial small subunit ribosomal RNA", at positions 28 to 521 of the family's 1533-position model. The record is from RNAcentral.